GAAACUACGCCUACAUGAAGCUGGAGUUGCUAGUAAUCGCGAAUCAGCAUGUCGCGGUGAAUACGUUCCCGGGCCUUGUACACACCGCCCGUCACACCAUGAGAGUUGGCAAUACCCAACGUACGUGAUCUAACCCGCAAGGGAGGAAGCGUCCUAAGGUAGGGUCAGCGAUUGGGGUGAAGUCGUAACAAGGUAGC
This 197-nucleotide ribosomal RNA is filed under the name uncultured bacterium. Its description in RNAcentral is "partial 16S ribosomal RNA". It matches the Rfam family "Bacterial small subunit ribosomal RNA", at positions 1307 to 1500 of the family's 1533-position model. The record is from RNAcentral.